Molecule: transfer RNA, 76 nt
Filed under: Clostridia bacterium
Lineage: Bacteria; Bacillati; Bacillota; Clostridia
Description: tRNA-Glu
Rfam family: tRNA
About the family: Transfer RNA (tRNA) molecules are approximately 80 nucleotides in length.
Source: RNAcentral
GGUCCUAUCGUAUAAUCGGCUAGUACAACACGCUUUCAAUGUGUAAACAGGAGUUCGAACCUCCUUAGGACUACCA